This 508-nucleotide ribosomal RNA is filed under the name uncultured bacterium. RNAcentral's name for it is "partial 16S ribosomal RNA". It matches the Rfam family "Bacterial small subunit ribosomal RNA", at positions 30 to 523 of the family's 1533-position model. The record is from RNAcentral.
AUUGAACGCUGGCGGCAUGCCUUACACAUGCAAGUCGAACGGCAGCGGGGGAGAAGCUUGCUUUUCCUGCCGGCGAGUGGCGAACGGGUGAGUAAUACAUCGGAACGUGCCCUGUAGUGGGGGAUAACUAGUCGAAAGAUUAGCUAAUACCGCAUACGACCUGAGGGUGAAAGUGGGGGACCGCAAGGCCUCAUGCUAUAGGAGCGGCCGAUGUCUGAUUAGCUAGUUGGUGGGGUAAAGGCCUACCAAGGCGACGAUCAGUAGCUGGUCUGAGAGGACGAUCAGCCACACUGGGACUGAGAAACGGCCCGGACUCCUACGGGAGGCAGCAGUGGGGAAUUUUGGACAAUGGGCGAAAGCCUGAUCCAGCAAUGCCGCGUGUGUGAAGAAGGCCUUCGGGUUGUAAAGCACUUUUGUCCGGAAAGAAAUGGCUCUGGUUAAUACCUGGGGUCGAUGACGGUACCGGAAGAAUAAGGACCGGCUAACUACGUGCCAGCAGCCGCCGUAA